CUAUGCUAGUGGACCAAAUGAGGUUCGCUAAAAUGCCUCGUUUCGGUAUGAGCCAAAACAAAUUUGGCCCAACACCACCUAAUCCAAGGGUUUUAUUGGCUGACCUAGCCGACCAAACACAUUUUGCAAUUUUGACAACUCCAGUGGCGGGCCAAUUCGAUAGCGCUUGACCGGAGUUCUGCCGAAGUUUACUCUCUAAACCGGUGAAGAAUGGGCGUAUAAAUGGAACUCGUUGAUCUCAGACGAUUAGAUGGCUGAAUCCCCUCUUUGUGUAUCUAGAGCUCCAAGGCUAUUCAUUAAAGAUAUGAACAUGAGAAAAAUCAAGUCUUAUGGCGGCGAACAGCGUGUUGGCCCAUUUCAUAAGAGCUUUUCUGCAGUUGUGGUCCUAAUGGUAGUGGAAAGAGUAACAUAAAUUGACGCAAUGUUGUUCGUGUUUGGGAAGCGAGCCAAACAGGGGGAGAUUGAGCAAAUAUCGUUGAUGAAGCCAAAAGCGCAAUCAGCCCAUGAUGAAGGCUUUCUGGAGUAUCUAGAAGAUAUUAUUGGAACCAACAAAUAUGUUGAGAAGAUUGCAGAAUCAUUGAAGCAAAGUCUGUAGAUCAAUUGCAUUCUUCAGAGGCUUUGUGCCAGUCUCUAUGAAGCUUUCUUGCUUCUAUGUGGAAUGAGUUUCUAAUUCAGUUCAAUUAGAGCUGCAAGUGGAUGCUGAUUACAACUUACAAGAUAUGAAGAAGACUUAUGAAGACUUGGAGCUCAAAGGCAAAGGAUAUAAUAAAAAGCUUGAUGAUUUGUUUAUUGCUCUUUCAAAGCAUACUGAGCAGAAUCAAAAGGACUCGGUGGAUCCAGAAAAGCUUUAAACAACUUUUAGGAUGACAUUCUUGGCGAGACUUAUGACCAUAAUAAAGCUUUGGAGAUCGUUGCAAUUCUAGAAGUUCAACUAAAAGAGAUAAAUCCAAAUCUUGACUCGAUCUCUGAAACAAAUUAUCUGUGUGCAAUGAGAAAGUCCAAGAACUUGAUUUUGUUACUAAGAGCAUGUGAUAUAAAAAGCAAUAUGGCAAGUGGAGAAA
Solanum lycopersicum (tomato) is the source of this 1061-nucleotide non-coding RNA. NCBI's taxonomy places the organism in Eukaryota, Viridiplantae, Streptophyta, Magnoliopsida, Solanales, Solanaceae. The record is from RefSeq and is a predicted model, not a curated record.